Molecule: long non-coding RNA, 825 nt
Organism: Xenopus laevis (African clawed frog)
Lineage: Eukaryota; Metazoa; Chordata; Amphibia; Anura; Pipidae
Exons: 3
Source: RefSeq, a predicted model, not a curated record
CUGAGACGCAGCCAAGACCAAAAGCAGUGCGCUUCCUUCCCUGGCUCGGCAAAGUGAAAAGGAGGUUCAAUAGCUGUUUUCCGGCAUCAUAUUCUGGUGAAAAGUUGGAAACCUCCAACUGAAAAGAUUCAACGCGCUUCAAGAUACGCUCCACAUCAGAAUCCUCAUAUGCGAAGGUGGAUGUGUGGUCAUUAGUGCUUGGGGUGGAUUCCACCGACAUGCUCAGGUCCCAGAAAACAGAAGAAGCUGCGUGUGGAAGCUGCUUGUGGAAGCUGCAAGGCCACUCUGUCUGAAUCACAAGGGGCAUUUUCUUUUAAUUUGAAAAAAGUGGAUGUAAAAGAAGGGUCAGAGUAUUUUGCAAAUACAUUAUUAGCAGCAGAACUGUAAAGACUAGUCUGGAUAAAUUAAUAUGGGUUUAAGUAUGUACCUGAAUAGAUUGUCCAUUAUUUUUCCACAUACAGAACAAUGCCAAAACAUCAUAGCAACUCCUUCAGUAUAGUGAUGCUGCAGACCUAUUAUCCUGAUAAAAGACUUGAGGAAAGGCUGUUGUCGGCCUAAAACGUUGCUGUAUUUCUGUCUAACAAAAAGCCCUUUUUUCAAAUAAAGGUGCUGUCUAUCUGCAAAAAUUGGACCUAUUAUCCUGAUAGCCUAGUUUGUAUUUAUUCUGUUUUCUCUACCAUGAUCAGGUUAUGCUGGUUUCUCUACCGGCCAAGGAGAAAGUUGUGGCAGUUAAGAUCUUGUUGAAGAGUAACAAGGAAAAGUAUGAAGACAUCAUGAAUUUAGACAUCAAUUACAAACAAAAUAAUAAAUUAGCAGCAUACCUAA